GACGAACGCUGGCGGCGUGCCUAAUACAUGCAAGUCGAACGGAAAGGCCCUGCUUUUGUUGGGUGCUCGAUUGGCUAACGGUUGCGUAACACUUAAUUAACCUGCCCUUGCCUUUCGGAUAACUUCGGGUAACUGUUGCUAAUACCGGAUAGUAGCUCCUGCUGCUUGGUGGGGGUUGGAAAUUUUCGGCGGUUUGGUAUUGACUCGCGGCUUAUUAGCCUGUUGGUGUGGUAGCUGCUUACAAAGGCAUCGACUGGUAGCCGGCCUGAGAGGGUGACCGGCCACAGUGGGACUGAGAUACGGCCAAGACGCAUACGGGAGGAAGCGGUGGGGAAUAUUGCGAAAAGGGCGGAAGGAUGAAGCAGCAACGCCGGGUGGGGGAUGACGGCUUUAGGGUUGUAAACCGCGUGCGACUGUGACGAAGCGUGAGUGACGGUAAUGGGUAAAGAAGCAACGGCUAACUACGUG
This 468-nucleotide ribosomal RNA is filed under the name uncultured bacterium. RNAcentral describes it as "partial 16S ribosomal RNA". It matches the Rfam family "Bacterial small subunit ribosomal RNA", at positions 28 to 507 of the family's 1533-position model. The record is from RNAcentral.